GCAGAUUUUAGUCAGCAGCUACCAGGGUUGAAGUCAAAUGGCCAAAACGCUUCGACCAGUUUCUUCGGCCUUCCCCGUCACAGCGUGGGCGUGGUCGGGGUUUUGCCUCCAGGAUUCCAGCUAAGACAGCGUCACGAGUCCCUCCGCGUUCAGCCUGUGGACCUAGUUCAUCGCAGCCGCAAGAGGGGCCUUCACAGCAACCCCGAAAAGGCUUCCCACGGACGACGACAAAGCGAGAGAACUUCUCGGCAGCCAGGCCGUAAAGAGGGCGCAACAGGCGAUGUGUAGAACACGAAGAGGCUCCGGGCGAUGGGUAGAACACGAAGACGCUCCUGGUCCUGCUCCAGGGCAUCUUCUACAUAGUGAUUCUUUUGGGUACCACCUUUAGACCAAUAAAUGCACUGUUUUGGGAAAA
Molecule: unclassified non-coding RNA, 415 nt
Filed under: Portunus trituberculatus (swimming crab)
Lineage: Eukaryota; Metazoa; Arthropoda; Malacostraca; Decapoda; Portunidae
Description: uncharacterized LOC123516144, transcript variant X1
Source: RNAcentral